This is a long non-coding RNA of Branchiostoma belcheri (Belcher's lancelet), 380 nucleotides long. RefSeq lists it as uncharacterized. The transcript is spliced from 3 exons. Lineage: Eukaryota; Metazoa; Chordata; Leptocardii; Amphioxiformes; Branchiostomatidae. The record is from RefSeq and is a predicted model, not a curated record.
GCACAUGCAGGAUCAUCUACACACUUACAAAAUGGGUGACAACAACAACACAGCAGAGAUUUUGGGGAUAGCAGUUUUGGGUGGUCUUGCCAUUUUGGGAAGUGCUGUAGCUAUUGGUGUUGCUGCUGGAGCUUCAGUCACUGUCAGUCUUUCUGUAACAGUGGGUGGUGCCACUGUUACAACUUCGGCUGUGAUAGCAUCUAAUAAAUAAGGACAAGUGAGGCAUCAUCUCACACCAUGGCAACAGCAAAGGGCAACCUGAAACACAUCAAUUUGCCAUGAUGACCAGAAACCCUACACGGACAAGAAUGGACUGACAAUACAGCUUUGCUAGAUGUUGCAUGAUUACAUGUACAGUUAAGCUUUCAAACUACAGAACU